Molecule: non-coding RNA, 407 nt
Organism: Misgurnus anguillicaudatus (oriental weatherfish)
Lineage: Eukaryota; Metazoa; Chordata; Actinopteri; Cypriniformes; Cobitidae
Source: RefSeq, a predicted model, not a curated record
CAGAAAGUUAUCUACAGCCACUGUAUACCAAGUUAUGAUGAUCAAUUAUGAGAAUGCAAAAGGAUUGAUAGAUCAGUAAACAAGCAACAAAAAGAUGGGUGCUCAUGGAGGCCUCCAAAUAAAUACAUGGACAGGCUGCUAAAGAGGGUCAGGAUGAUGGAGAUGCAAGAGCCAAAGACAGCACAGACCAAACACCAGGCCAGAAUUCUGCAUGAGUCAGAUUGAGUAAUUUUCACUCUAGAGACCCUUGGGUGACCACCAAGGACGAAUGCAAACUCCAGUAAGUGUCUCUAAGGUAGAUCCUAAUGCAGAUGGAUGGAAUGUUGAUCCGCCUAACAUGCAAGGUAAAAGAGCAUUUGAUAGCAUAGUGGAUAAACAAAUAGCUUUUUUCAUUUUCACAGCAUUUU